This 1372-nucleotide ribosomal RNA is filed under the name uncultured bacterium. Its description in RNAcentral is "bacterial SSU rRNA". It matches the Rfam family "Bacterial small subunit ribosomal RNA", at positions 28 to 1381 of the family's 1533-position model. The record is from RNAcentral.
GAUGAACGCUGGCGGCGUGCCUAAUACAUGCAAGUCGAGCGAACGGACGAGAAGCUUGCUUCUCUGAUGUUAGCGGCGGACGGGUGAGUAACACGUGGAUAACCUACCUAUAAGACUGGGAUAACUUCGGGAAACCGGAGCUAAUACCGGAUAAUAUUUUGAACCGCAUGGUUCAAAAGUGAAAGACGGUCUUGCUGUCACUUAUAGAUGGAUCCGCGCUGCAUUAGCUAGUUGGUAAGGUAACGGCUUACCAAGGCAACGAUGCAUAGCCGACCUGAGAGGGUGAUCGGCCACACUGGAACUGAGACACGGUCCAGACUCCUACGGGAGGCAGCAGUAGGGAAUCUUCCGCAAUGGGCGAAAGCCUGACGGAGCAACGCCGCGUGAGUGAUGAGGGUCUUCGGAUCGUAAAACUCUGUUAUUAGGGAAGAACAUAUGUGUAAGUAACUGUGCACAUCUUGACGGUACCUAAUCAGAAAGCCACGGCUAACUACGUGCCAGCAGCCGCGGUAAUACGUAGGUGGCAAGCGUUAUCCGGAAUUAUUGGGCGUAAAGCGCGCGUAGGCGGUUUUUUAAGUCUGAUGUGAAAGCCCACGGCUCAACCGUGGAGGGUCAUUGGAAACUGGAAAACUUGAGUGCAGAAGAGGAAAGUGGAACUCCAUGUGUAGCGGUGAAAUGCGCAGAGAUAUGGAGGAACACCAGUGGCGAAGGCGACUUUCUGGUCUGUAACUGACGCUGAUGUGCGAAAGCGUGGGGAUCAAACAGGAUUAGAUACCCUGGUAGUCCACGCCGUAAACGAUGAGUGCUAAGUGUUAGGGGGUUUCCGCCCCUUAGUGCUGCAGCUAACGCAUUAAGCACUCCGCCUGGGGAGUACGACCGCAAGGUUGAAACUCAAAGGAAUUGACGGGGACCCGCACAAGCGGUGGAGCAUGUGGUUUAAUUCGAAGCAACGCGAAGAACCUUACCAAAUCUUGACAUCCUUUGACAACUCUAGAGAUAGAGCCUUCCCCUUCGGGGGACAAAGUGACAGGUGGUGCAUGGUUGUCGUCAGCUCGUGUCGUGAGAUGUUGGGUUAAGUCCCGCAACGAGCGCAACCCUUAAGCUUAGUUGCCAUCAUUAAGUUGGGCACUCUAAGUUGACUGCCGGUGACAAACCGGAGGAAGGUGGGGAUGACGUCAAAUCAUCAUGCCCCUUAUGAUUUGGGCUACACACGUGCUACAAUGGACAAUACAAAGGGCAGCGAAACCGCGAGGUCAAGCAAAUCCCAUAAAGUUGUUCUCAGUUCGGAUUGUAGUCUGCAACUCGACUACAUGAAGCUGGAAUCGCUAGUAAUCGUAGAUCAGCAUGCUACGGUGAAUACGUUCCCGGGUCU